ACAAAUCCUGCUCUGCAGAGAGGAAAAAGGCUAAAUCUGUGGGAAUCUGAACUAUUUAAGAUUUGUCUCAUAUUGGAAUUUUACACUAAAUCUGUAUACAGAGGUGUUGAAGAGUAUCAAACUCCCUGUUCCCCCCUGAGGUGCUAUCUAUUCCCUGUUUUAAGCAUAUUAAAAGUAUUUUUAUUAUUCACUUCAUCAUGAAUUACCCAUACAUCUCACAAGUCCGGACACUGCUCAGUGACCAUGCCUCAUCCUUUAGUCCUCCAGAUCUGACCAUCAGGUCAGAUGAUCAUGACUCGACUGUGGGGAAUGUCAAGUAAAUUCAAACACUAGCAGAGAAAAUGAGUUCAACUUUCACACCACAGCUUUUCUUGUUUCUGUUUCGUGCCUCCACAUCUUCAUUCUCCUCCACACUGAAGCUGUGGAUGGACUGAGAUCAUACAUUUUCAUUGUGCUGAUGUGAUAAUAUCAGCUGUUUCCUCCAGAUCUGACCAUCAGGUCAGAUGAUCAUGACUCGUAUAUCCAGUGUUGCCGAAGCACAGGUUUAACUGACCUCAUCACUGUGGGCAGAGGCAGCACAGCAUGAGGCAGCACAGCCUGUCGUGGUCUGGCCAGUCAGAGAGACCAGCCAAUUAUUUUGUCAUCUGGAUCACAAGAAGAUGAUCCUGUCAUUAUGAGAAAACCAAAUUUGCUUUCCCAAGAUUAUGGGAUGAAUUUACUGGAAGCUACUCUUUAAAAGUAAUGAUUAAAAAAAGUCAAACUCUGAAACAGAUGUAUGCAUAUCUACUUCAAGCUUCUGCACCUCUGUCCCUCUGCCUUUAUCUUUCUCAGCAGGCUAUCCCUGGAGAUGUUUCAAAAAAGCAUCAGGAGGAGGGGAGCAAGACAAG
Molecule: non-coding RNA, 887 nt
Organism: Xyrichtys novacula (pearly razorfish)
Lineage: Eukaryota; Metazoa; Chordata; Actinopteri; Labriformes; Labridae
Source: the annotation of a GenBank genome assembly